This 200-nucleotide microRNA precursor is filed under the name Oryza brachyantha (malo sina). RNAcentral describes it as "MIR812 microRNA precursor family". It matches the Rfam family "MIR812 microRNA precursor family". Lineage: Eukaryota; Viridiplantae; Streptophyta; Magnoliopsida; Poales; Poaceae. The record is from Rfam by way of RNAcentral.
AACAAAUCAAUCUUUUAUUUUUUUCCUAUAAUGUUUGACACUCUGUCUUAUUAAAAAAUUUUACGAUUAAUAUUUUUGUUUUAUUAGACGAUAAAUCAUGAAUAGUACUUUUGCGACUAAUUUUUUUAAAUUUUUUAUUUUUUUUUCAAAUAAGACGGAUAGUCAAAUACUGGACACGAAAACCGAAAGAUUGAUUUGUU